GGGGACAUUGUGCCAUUGGAUCAGUCCAGCUGACUCGAACUGAUCUUGACCAUAUGAUCCUUGUCUUUCUAUUGGUAAGUUGCCCUGCCGUAAUGGUUGGCCAGUGGUUACAGUGGGCACGAGAUGCAGUUGACCAUUCUCCACAAUCAGCUCUUCUCAACUCUACAUCACUAAGAACUUCCCCCCUUGGGGAUUCUUAUAACUCUCUAUUGUACCUCCGGGUAAUCUCCAAUUGCUUGUUUGGAGCUGAUCCUGUUUGGAUGUGAGUGAAGGACGGCCACCUUGUAGUGUGCUCAGAUUUGCUCAUAGCUUGCAGUUCCUUCAACACAGAGAACAUCGCAGUAGGUUUCCUGUGUACGCUGCUCGGCAAGGUGUAGUAUAGUGUGAUCACCACUGUCAAUAAAUCUUUACAUCAACAAUGGUGGUAGGGGGCAUGGACACUUCUUUGUUAGACGGUCAAUGUACAAGCAAAAGAGAAUCUCAUCAUGAAAUUGGCUUAAAUGAGAGGAUAUUUUAAAUGGCAAAGGAAAAUUUAACUAAAACUGAAUUCAUGAUAAAUGAAGGGCAAGAGGAAAAUAGGAGGAUGGCAAUAGCAGAAGCCUAACACGUCUAUCAAUGCAAUUUGGUGAACUGAUGCCCAGUGAUUUCAGCAAUCUUUUGUAUGACGACCAAAUAAAAACUCAAGAAAUUGAUCUUGGAAUAGUUUUCUGGGUUAGGAUUUUAAAAGAAAUACAGAUAGGCCACGAAAAUUUCAAAGGCCGUGGACCAUACAGAAACCAGCGACCAUUUAUGCCAAUGGAGGGCCAUCUAAGGAAUUGAAGAACUUCACACGAUGAAAUUGUUCAAUAAAAGCUUACAAUGCACGCACAGGCUGAGGAGAAUUACACCUUGCAAUGUCAUCAGAGAGGAGAAGUGAAACAAGCUUUCUAUUAGUCCACCUAUGCCAUCAAUAUGCCGAACAAUGAACAACUAUGGCCAAGAAUCUAAGCUUUUGAGUUUAAGAAAAGCUAAAACGUUUUACUCAAUGAACUGAAUGUCUCAUAUUGCAACAAGAUAGGAUGCCGAACAACACCACUUUGUCCUAAUUCCGCCAAGAUAAAAGAUUACAUUGCCAGCUCCUCGAAACCACAAUGAAAAAGUUACUUCCCCAAUAGAAAGUAGAAACAGGCCUUGACAGAGAUCAUUGUCGUAUGACACGCUCACGAAACUAGGAAAUGUAGACCAAAGAGGCCGGGGUCUACAGGCAACGAAGGAACUAAGAGUUGGCCAGGCGGCUUGAUGCAAGACGUGAUGAUGUAAAUACUAACUUGCCCUAAUUAACUAAUUAAGAAGGUUUAUUAAGGUAAGAUCAAGUGAAAUCUUGCAAGAUUGAAAUCAAAUGGAUCGUCACGAUUAAGAAAUCGUUAAUGAUUAGAGUGUUCCACAAUCAAUAAGUUGACUAGUUGCAAAUCAAGUAGGUUAUCACUCCUCACUAACCACCAACUGUGAGAAUAAGUGGGCAUAACUAUGGAUCACACAAUGACCAUGUAGCACGACAAUAUAUUAAGUGAACAAAUUAUGCUAUUUAUGGAAAUGAAAGGUUUAGACAUAACCUUGUCACCAGGUUAGGUGACUGAUUAGAAGAGGGGUGUAGGUUGAAGCUGGGUCCCACUUGUUGAUCGUUGGUCUCCUAGUUGACCGUUGACAUAUGUUGACUGUUCUAUCUAUAUUGACCGUUGACCAAGUCAACAGUUGACUCGCGCGAACCGGUUCCGGCUGCGCAGGUGCGGGCGGCUGGCAAAGACGGAGGCGGACCGGUCUGGUCCAGCGGUUCAGGCUGACACGAAUUAGGGCUUUUAUACCCUAAUUGUUGGACGGGUAAAUGGGGGGCACGAUCAUGUGGGCUGUGGGAGGCGAGAGCGGCGGAAGGGGUGGGGCCGUAACGAUGGAGGAGGCGGCGGCCGCGGCGGACGGGGUGGCGGCAGGGGCGAGGGAGGAGGCGGCGGCAGCGGGGGACCAUAUGGAGACAGGGACGACGGAGGAGGCGGUGGCAGCGGGGGAGGGGAUGGAGGCAGAGACGACGGAGGAGGCGGCGGAAGCAACUGGUGACGGGGGAGGAUGGCGGACGGUGAAAGAUGGAAAAUUGAGAUAGCUGCAAUGGUGGCGGCAGAUAGCGACGAUGGUUGGCAGCGGAGAGCGAUGACGAGCGACGCCAUCGGUGGCGACGGCUGUGGUAC
RNAcentral lists this long non-coding RNA (2216 nucleotides) under Spirodela polyrhiza (greater duckweed). Its description in RNAcentral is "long non-coding RNA (SPOL_LNC000529)". The record is from RNAcentral. Lineage: Eukaryota; Viridiplantae; Streptophyta; Magnoliopsida; Alismatales; Araceae.